AACGCGAAGAACCUUACCUGGGCUCGAAAUGUAGUGGAAUGGGGUGGAAACAUCCCCGUCUCGCAAGAGACUGCUAUAUAGGUGCUGCAUGGCUGUCGUCAGCUCGUGUCGUGAGAUGUUGGGUUAAGUCCCGCAACGAGCGCAACCCUUAUCCCUAGUUGCCAUCGGGUCAAGCCGGGCACUCUAGUGAAACCGCUCAGGAUAACUGGGAGGAAGGUGGGGAUGACGUCAAGUCCUCAUGGCCUUUAUGUCCAGGGCUACACACGUGCUACAAUGGUCGGUACAAACCGUCGCAAACCCGUGAGGGGGAGCUAAUCGGAAAAAGCCGGCCUCAGUUCGGAUUGGAGUCUGCAACCCGACUCCAUGAAGCUGGAAUCGCUAGUAAUCGCGGAUCAGAACGCCGCGGUGAAUACGUUCCCGGGCCUUGUA
Molecule: ribosomal RNA, 429 nt
Filed under: uncultured Acidobacterium sp.
Lineage: Bacteria; Pseudomonadati; Acidobacteriota; Terriglobia; Terriglobales; Acidobacteriaceae
Description: bacterial SSU rRNA
Rfam family: Bacterial small subunit ribosomal RNA
Source: RNAcentral